CAUAAUAAUGAUAAAGAGUAAUAUUUACGCUAUGGCUUGUCGUAGCAGGAGUAUGUGAUUACUAGCUGGAUGGGUUGCCCCAAUAAUAUGGUGUAUGUACAUUUCAAUAUUGCAGCGAGCAUCGAGUUGGGCACCCACGAGUGCAAUUGAGGCGCCUGCAUGCGCAGGAGCAACCUUUUCUGGUCGCGAUGAAGUUGCCAGCGAGCAUCGAAUUGGGCACCCACGAGUGCAAUUGAGGCGCCCGUGUGCACAUGAGCAACCUUUUCUGGCCGUGAUGAAGUUGCCAGCAAGCAUCGAGUUGGGCACCCGCGAGUGCAAUUGAGGCGCCCGUGUGUGCAGGAGUAACCCUUUCUGGUCGUGAUGAAGUUGCCAGCAAGCAUCAACUUGAGCACCCGCGAGUGCAAUUGAGGCGCCCGUGUGUGCAGGAGUAAUCUUUUCCGGUCGUGAUGAGGUUGCCAGCGAGCAUCGAGUUGGGCACCCGCGAGUGCAAUUGAGACGCCCGCGUGCACAGAAGUAAUCUUUUCCGGCCGUGAUGAAGUUGCCAGUGAGCAUCAACUUGAGCACCCGCGAGUGCAACUGAGGCGCCCAUGUGUGCAGUUGUUGGCACCCGUGCGUGCAGACAUGAGCAUCGUCGAUUGCCU
This 641-nucleotide long non-coding RNA is filed under the name Volvox carteri. Its description in RNAcentral is "long non-coding RNA (VCAR_LNC001283)". Lineage: Eukaryota; Viridiplantae; Chlorophyta; Chlorophyceae; Chlamydomonadales; Volvocaceae. The record is from RNAcentral.